UUUCCGUAGGUGAACCUGCGGAAGGAUCAUUCAUAAUAAGUGUUUUAUGGCAUUUUUUUAAAUCCAUAUCCACCUUGUGUGCAAUGUCAGGGUUGAUUUUUCUCUCGAGAGGAUCAACCCCAAACAUCAACUAUAUCUCAACUCUUUGUCUGAAAAAUAUUAUGAAUAAAACAAUUCAAAAUACAACUUUCAGCAACGGAUCUCUUGGCUCUC
Molecule: unclassified non-coding RNA, 213 nt
Filed under: plant metagenome
Description: partial contains small subunit ribosomal RNA, internal transcribed spacer 1, and 5.8S ribosomal RNA
Source: RNAcentral